CAGAAGGGAGCUUGCUCCCGGAUGUUAGCGGCGGACGGGUGAGUAACACGUGGGUAACCUGCCUGUAAGACUGGGAUAACUCCGGGAAACCGGAGCUAAUACCGGAUAGUUCCUUGAACCGCAUGGUUCAAGGAUGAAAGACGGUUUCGGCUGUCACUUACAGAUGGACCCGCGGCGCAUUAUCUAGUUGGUGGGGUAAUGGCUCACCAAGGCGACGAUGCGUACCCGACCUGAGAGGGUGAUCGGCCACACUGGGACUGAGACACGGCCCAGACUCCUACGGGAGGCAGCAGUAGGGAAUCUUCCGCAAUGGACGAAAGUCUGACGGAGCAACGCCGCGUGAGUGAUGAAGGUUUUCGGAUCGUAAAGCUCUGUUGUUAGGGAAGAACAAGUGCGAGAGUAACUGCUCGCACCUUGACGGUACCUAACCAGAAAGCCACGGCUAACUACGUGCCAGCAGCCGCGGUAAUACGUAGGUGGCAAGCGUUGUCCGGAAUUAUUGGGCGUAAAGGGCUCGCAGGCGGUUUCUUAAGUCUGAUGUGAAAGCCCCCGGCUCAACCGGGGAGGGUCAUUGGAAACUGGGAAACUUGAGUGCAGAAGAGGAGAGUGGAAUUCCACGUGUAGCGGUGAAAUGCGUAGAGAUGUGGAGGAACACCAGUGGCGAAGGCGACUCUCUGGUCUGUAACUGACGCUGAGGAGCGAAAGCGUGGGGAGCGAACAGGAUUAGAUACCCUGGUAG
This 739-nucleotide ribosomal RNA is filed under the name Bacillus zhangzhouensis. RNAcentral describes it as "bacterial SSU rRNA". It matches the Rfam family "Bacterial small subunit ribosomal RNA", at positions 69 to 793 of the family's 1533-position model. Lineage: Bacteria; Bacillati; Bacillota; Bacilli; Caryophanales; Bacillaceae. The record is from RNAcentral.